This 433-nucleotide ribosomal RNA is filed under the name uncultured bacterium. RNAcentral's name for it is "partial 16S ribosomal RNA". It matches the Rfam family "Bacterial small subunit ribosomal RNA", at positions 29 to 507 of the family's 1533-position model. The record is from RNAcentral.
AACGAACGCUGGCGGCAGGCCUAACACAUGCAAGUCGAGCGCGCCCUUCGGGGUGAGCGGCGGACGGGUGAGUAACGCGUGGGAACGUGCCCUUUUCUACGGAAUAGCCUCGGGAAACUGAGAGUAAUACCGUAUACGCCCUUUGGGGGAAAGAUUUAUCGGAAAAGGAUCGGCCCGCGUUGGAUUAGGUAGUUGGUGGGGUAAUGGCCUACCAAGCCGACGAUCCAUAGCUGGUUUGAGAGGAUGAUCAGCCACACUGGGACUGAGACACGGCCCAGACUCCUACGGGAGGCAGCAGUGGGGAAUCUUAGACAAUGGGGGCAAACCUGAUCGAGCCAUGCCGCGUGAGUGAUGAAGGCCUUAGGGUUGUAAAGCUCUUUCAGCUGGGAAGAUAAUGACGGUACCAGCAGAAGAAGCCCCGGCUAACUCCGUG